GAUGAACGCUGGCGGCGUGCCUAAUACAUGCAAGUCGAGCGAACGGACGAGAAGCUUGCUUUUCUGAUGUUAGCGGCGGACGGGUGAGUAACACGUGGAUAACCUACCUAUAAGACUGGGAUAACUUCGGGAAACCGGAGCUAAUACCGGAUAAUAUUUUGAACCGCAUGGUUCAAUAGUGAAAGACGGUCUUGCUGUCACUUAUAGAUGGAUCCGCGCUGCAUUAGCUAGUUGGUAAGGUAACGGCUUACCAAGGCAACGAUGCAUAGCCGACCUGAGAGGGUGAUCGGCCACACUGGAACUGAGACACGGUCCAGACUCCUACGGGAGGCAGCAGUAGGGAAUCUUCCGCAAUGGGCGAAAGCCUGACGGAGCAACGCCGCGUGAGUGAUGAAGGUCUUCGGAUCGUAAAACUCUGUUAUUAGGGAAGAACAUAUGUGUAAGUAACUGUGCACAUCUUGACGGUACCUAAUCAGAAAGCCACGGCUAACUACGUG
RNAcentral lists this ribosomal RNA (497 nucleotides) under uncultured bacterium. Its description in RNAcentral is "partial 16S ribosomal RNA". It matches the Rfam family "Bacterial small subunit ribosomal RNA", at positions 28 to 507 of the family's 1533-position model. The record is from RNAcentral.